Molecule: unclassified non-coding RNA, 240 nt
Filed under: soil metagenome
Description: partial contains 5.8S ribosomal RNA, internal transcribed spacer 2, and large subunit ribosomal RNA
Source: RNAcentral
AAGACUAUAGACCUGCGGAGUACCUGCGGAGGGAUCAUUAUUGAGGUUUUUCCCUAUUUUUUAGGGACCUCCCACCCUAUGUCUAUUGACCUGUUGCUUCGGCGAGUCGACUGCUUUUUUAAGUGGCCGUCGACUUUUAGUGGGCGUGUGCUCGCCGAAGAAUCUUUACUCUGAUUUUGAAGUUGUCUGAGUCUAAAAUAAAAAUCAAAACUUUCAGCAAUGGAUCUCUAGAUCGGAAGA